GGGUUGUGAGGUUAAGCGACUAAGCGUACACGGUGGAUGCCUAGGCAGUCAGAGGCGAUGAAGGGCGUGCUAAUCUGCGAUAAGCGUCGGUAAGGUGAUAUGAACCGUUACAACCGACGAUACCCGAAUGGGGAAACCCAGUGCAAUUCGUUGCACUAUUGCAUGGUGAAUACAUAGCCAUGCAAGGCGAACCGGGGGAACUGAAACAUCUAAGUACCCCGAGGAAAAGAAAUCAACCGAGAUUCCCCCAGUAGCGGCGAGCGAACGGGGAAGAGCCCAGAGUCUGAAUCAGUUUGUGUGUUAGUGGAAGCGUCUGGAAAGUCGCACGGUACAGGGUGAUAGUCCCGUACACAAAAAUACACCUUCUGUGAACUCGAUGAGUAGGGCGGGACACGUGACAUCCUGUCUGAAUAUGGGGGGACCAUCCUCCAAGGCUAAAUACUCCUGACUGACCGAUAGUGAACCAGUACCGUGAGGGAAAGGCGAAAAGAACCCCGGCGAGGGGAGUGAAAUAGAACCUGAAACCGUGUACGUACAAGCAGUGGGAGCACCUUCGUGGUGUGACUGCGUACCUUUUGUAUAAUGGGUCAGCGACUUAUAUUUUGUAGCAAGGUUAACCGAAUAGGGGAGCCGUAGGGAAACCGAGUCUUAACUGGGCGUCUAGUUGCAAGGUAUAGACCCGAAACCCGGUGAUCUAGCCAUGGGCAGGUUGAAGGUUGGGUAACACUAACUGGAGGACCGAACCGACUAAUGUUGAAAAAUUAGCGGAUGACUUGUGGCUGGGGGUGAAAGGCCAAUCAAACCGGGAGAUAGCUGGUUCUCCCCGAAAGCUAUUUAGGUAGCGCCUCGUGAACUCAUCUUCGGGGGUAGAGCACUGUUUCGGCUAGGGGGUCAUCCCGACUUACCAAACCGAUGCAAACUCCGAAUACCGAAGAAUGUUAUCACGGGAGACACACGGCGGGUGCUAACGUCCGUCGUGAAGAGGGAAACAACCCAGACCGCCAGCUAAGGUCCCAAAGUCAUGGUUAAGUGGGAAACGAUGUGGGAAGGCAUAGACAGCCAGGAUGUUGGCUUAGAAGCAGCCAUCAUUUAAAGAAAGCGUAAUAGCUCACUGGUCGAGUCGGCCUGCGCGGAAGAUGUAACGGGGCUAAACCAUGCACCGAAGCUGCGGCAGCGACACUUAGGUGUUGUUGGGUAGGGGAGCGUUCUGUAAGCCGUUGAAGGUGGCCUGUGAGGGCUGCUGGAGGUAUCAGAAGUGCGAAUGCUGACAUAAGUAACGAUAAUGCGGGUGAAAAACCCGCACGCCGGAAGACCAAGGGUUCCUGUCCAACGUUAAUCGGGGCAGGGUGAGUCGACCCCUAAGGCGAGGCUGAAAAGCGUAGUCGAUGGGAAACAGGUUAAUAUUCCUGUACUUGGUGUUACUGCGAAGGGGGGACGGAGAAGGCUAGGCUAGCCGGGCGACGGUUGUCCCGGUUUAAGCAUGUAGGCGGAGUGACUUGGUAAAUCCGGUUGCUUAUCAACGCUGAGGUGUGAUGACGAUGCACUACGGUGCAGAAGUAGUUGAUGCCAAGCUUCCAGGAAAAGCCUCUAAGCAUCAGGUAACAUUGAAUCGUACCCCAAACCGACACAGGUGGUCAGGUAGAGAAUACUCAGGCGCUUGAGAGAACUCGGGUGAAGGAACUAGGCAAAAUGGUGCCGUAACUUCGGGAGAAGGCACGCUGGCAUUAGGUAAAGAGACUUGCUCUCGGCGCCGAAGCCAGUCGCAGAUACCAGCUGGCUGCAACUGUUUAAUAAAAACACAGCACUGUGCAAACACGAAAGUGGACGUAUACGGUGUGACGCCUGCCCGGUGCUGGAAGGUUAAUUGAUGGGGUCAGCCGCAAGGCGAAGCUCUUGAUCGAAGCCCCAGUAAACGGCGGCCGUAACUAUAACGGUCCUAAGGUAGCGAAAUUCCUUGUCGGGUAAGUUCCGACCUGCACGAAUGGCGUAAUGAUGGCCAGGCUGUCUCCACCCGAGACUCAGUGAAAUUGAACUCGCUGUGAAGAUGCAGUGUACCCGCGGCAAGACGGAAAGACCCCGUGAACCUUUACUAUAGCUUGACACUGAACAUUGAGCCUUGAUGUGUAGGAUAGGUGGGAGGCAUUGAAGUGUGGACGCCAGUCUGCAUGGAGCCAACCUUGAAAUACCACCCUUUAAUGUUUGAUGUUCUAACUCGGCCCCAUAAUCUGGGGUGAGGACAGUGUCUGGUGGGUAGUUUGACUGGGGCGGUCUCCUCCCAAAGAGUAACGGAGGAGCACGAAGGUUAGCUAAUCACGGUCGGACAUCGUGAGGUUAGUGCAAAGGCAUAAGCUAGCUUGACUGCGAGAGUGACGGCUCGAGCAGGUACGAAAGUAGGUCUUAGUGAUCCGGUGGUUCUGAAUGGAAGGGCCAUCGCUCAACGGAUAAAAGGUACUCCGGGGAUAACAGGCUGAUACCGCCCAAGAGUUCAUAUCGACGGCGGUGUUUGGCACCUCGAUGUCGGCUCAUCACAUCCUGGGGCUGAAGUAGGUCCCAAGGGUAUGGCUGUUCGCCAUUUAAAGUGGUACGCGAGCUGGGUUUAGAACGUCGUGAGACAGUUCGGUCCCUAUCUGCCGUGGGCGUUGGAAGAUUGAGAGGGGCUGCUCCUAGUACGAGAGGACCGGAGUGGACGAAUCACUGGUGUUCGGGUUGUCAUGCCAAUGGCAUUGCCCGGUAGCUAAAUUCGGAAGAGAUAACCGCUGAAAGCAUCUAAGCGGGAAACUUGCCUCGAGAUGAGUCUUCCCUGGGGCUUUAAGCCCCCUGAAGGAACGUUAAAGACUAUGACGUUGAUAGGCUGGGUGUGUAAGUGCAGCGAUGCAUUGAGCUAACCAGUACUAAUGAUCCGUGAGGCUUAACCUUACAACACCAAAGGUGUUUUG
RNAcentral lists this ribosomal RNA (2936 nucleotides) under Yersinia mollaretii ATCC 43969. Its description in RNAcentral is "23S ribosomal RNA". It matches the Rfam family "Bacterial large subunit ribosomal RNA". Lineage: Bacteria; Pseudomonadati; Pseudomonadota; Gammaproteobacteria; Enterobacterales; Yersiniaceae. The record is from RNAcentral.